Molecule: long non-coding RNA, 2620 nt
Organism: Oryzias melastigma (Indian medaka)
Lineage: Eukaryota; Metazoa; Chordata; Actinopteri; Beloniformes; Adrianichthyidae
Exons: 5
Source: RefSeq, a predicted model, not a curated record
UGUUGCACGAAGGCCGUUCAGUUGUGAUGAAGAACAAACAGCCUUCAGUGAAUGAAGAAGAACCUGCAACAGAGCCGACAGCUCCCUGCAGCCCGAAGAGCAGGGACGCGCUGCGGAACUCUUUUUAUUGAGAGGCUAGAAUUACAUUAUUCUGCGUUUGAAGGCUUCAGUCCUUGACUCCUCCACUCCCUCAGGGGAAAACCUGGCGCCUCCUGUCCGCAUCCGAAGACUCGAAACUGGACGAAAAAGAGAGGAGGAGGAGGAGGAGGAGGAAAUAAAAACAGUAGAAAAAAGAGAGUAAAGCGCUGAAAGCAGGAUGGAUGGAGAGAGACUGCAUUCUAGAAACACAGCAUCUGCAUUCCUGCGGCGUGAUGGAUGACACUUCAGCAUCUCAAGCUGCUAGUAGUUGAUUGCAGUCGGUGCUUUUCUUCUUCUCUCUACCAGAAGAGUCAGCCAAUCCAUGAACACCCAUCCCACUUCCUUUAUUAUUGCUGUAGAAAAGCUGAGAAGGCGGUAGAGUGCAGAAGGAGCUGAUGGGACUUGAAGAGAGCUACUCACAGUGUCGCGGUCCAGGGAUAUUGGGGUCCCGAACCCAUCAAGGGAGAGGUGUGAAUCCACGAUGGUGCUGUCCAGCCAUGUUUCAGUGAAGCAGAUCAGGCUAGCAUCUUUCUAAGCCCACUGACACGAGAUGUUGGCGUGUAGUUCAUCCAGUUUGUUUCGAAGAGAGCGAACAUUGAUAACUGACGGCAGAUCAAGAUGCUGAACCCUUUGUGAUGAAAGGUCUUGACUGCAGAGAUGAAGGGCGCCAUAGGUGGAAUCACACAGGCAAAGCAGACAUGAGGGCUGUUUCAAGAUUUUAGCUGUCUGUCUGCUUCAUCUGAAGGGACUUUUUUGCAGAAGACUUGAAAGAAUGUAUAUUUUCUAAUGUAUCAUCAAAAACUCAAUCAGCCGUAGAAAGCAUGGCACAUACCUGUCUGUGUGCAGAGCAGUUGUGGAGGCUUGUUGGGGUUACUGAUGUAUCAGUGUUCAGCUGAAAUACGAUCUUUCACAUCUGUGUGCCUCUGCUGGGGCCAAUCUGCUGGCUACUGUAACUAGGGUAUUGUUAUGUUCCACAUGAGUGCAACUUCUUUUGGUUUUUGACUGUCCGCCAAUAAAAAUGUCACAGCUGAAUUGUCUGGAUUAGGUAUGAGUGAAGUGGCAACCAUUCUGAACAGCUUGUGUGAAAUGUUUCUGUCUGCGAUGGAACGACUGCAGCAGGAGGAAAACGCAUUAGUACCAAUGAGUCACAGUCCUCUGGAAACCAGAUAUGGAGCUUUUAUUAAGAAGGACACAAGUUAAUUUAUGAUAGAGCUUAAAACGAGCCUGUUGCUGCUUCUUAUGUUAAUGACAAAGCAGGUGUGUAGGUUUUCACUAAAUAACAUCUGGUUCUGUUUCAAAACUUCCUCUGAAUUGAAAUAUUUUCCUUUCCAAAUGUUAUUAACAAUUCUUCAGGUCAAUAUUUCUUUUUCAACUAACCUAGAGGAUCUUUAAAAAGCAAACAGAAACUUGCCAGCACAGGCCUGUGCAGCUCACAAGUUCCUAAGGAGCCUGUGAAGGAACAGAAACAACAGAGCAACAGAGACAGAGAGUGAGUGUGACACAGUUGAACUUUGCACUGCAUGUCUGAGCAUGCAACAGGCCUCUACUAAUGUAGAAACAUUCCCAUCUGCCAUUGUCUUGCAGAAAAGGAAGCCCUUGCCGAAGAACACGGCUCUGACGAAAAGGCAUGUUUCUCCCACUAAUGAGUGACACCCUGACUAAUGGAAGGAGCACUUUAGCUGAGGCAGAAAAGAAGCAUCUGGACAGCAUCUACUGCCUUCAACUUCUGAACUACAGAGCCUCUUGAAACAUUUUGUCGCCUUGGUGUCCAGGUGGUGCCAUUUUAAUUCCAGCACAGAUGCUCUGCUCUUCCACCUGUCAUCUGCACUCUCAGCUUUCUGUGACAGACCUGCUGACAGCGACUGAACGUGAGGAAAGUCAGUGUAAGCUCUGUGAAGUAUUCGCAGAGCCGACAUACUGUGGUUAAUUUUAUCAUGUUAUGGGGGUGGGCUCCUACUGACUGUGGCCCCGGGAUGGUUUGGCUCUGCCCCCUGUUGGUCCUGUGGAGUUUGGUUGAUAGGGAGUCAGUUGUGUCCAUGGUGGGGAGGGGGCUGCUUGGUGGGAUGGGAAAGUCUAUCAGCUGGUCAAUCUGGAAUAUUUGGCUGUCUGGUUGAAGUACCCAUUGAGAAUCAUUAGACACACAUUGCUAAUGUUCAUAUCACCUUCAUGUACUAGACCAUGGGUGUCCAAAGUCUGACCCCGAGGGCCAGUGUCCUGCAUGUUUUCCAACCAACCUGCCAUUGAAGCUCCUCAUUGGCCAAACACACCUGAUCCAGGUAAUCAGCAGUAGAUAAGGCAGGAUUCCUUAAAAACCAGAAGUCAGCCCUCGAGGACAGACUUUAGACACCCCUGUACUAGAUUUUGUGUACUGGACCAUUCUAUAUUUUUCAUCAUUGCCUUGGCAACUAGAACUGUAAUUUUUAAAGUAAAACAACAUUGUGUGUCCAAAUAUGAAAAAAACCCAGGUAAGCAAUAAAAUAUA